GAUGAACGCUAGCGGUAGGCUUAAUACAUGCAAGUCGUACGGGAUUUACUUUCGGGUAAUGAGAGUGGCGCACGGGUGCGUAACACGUAUGUAACCUACCUUGUAGAGAGGGAUAGCCCGAAGAAAUUUGGAUUAAUACCUCGUGGUCUUAUUUGGUGGCAUCACUAGAUAAGUAAAGGAGCAAUUUGCUACAAGAUGGACAUGCGCAAGAUUAGAUUGUUGGUGAGGUAACGGCUCACCAAGUCGAUGAUCUUUAGGGGUUCUGAGAGGAAGGUCCCCCACACUGGCACUGAGAUACGGGCCAGACUCCUACGGGAGGCAGCAGUAGGGAAUAUUGGACAAUGGGCGCAAGCCUGAUCCAGCCAUACCGCGUGAAGGAAGAAGGUCCUCUGGAUUGUAAACUUCUUUUAUACAGGAAGAAACGUAGAUUUGCGAAUUUACUUGACGGUA
Molecule: ribosomal RNA, 450 nt
Filed under: uncultured bacterium
Lineage: Bacteria
Description: bacterial SSU rRNA
Rfam family: Bacterial small subunit ribosomal RNA
Source: RNAcentral